Molecule: ribosomal RNA, 851 nt
Filed under: uncultured cyanobacterium
Lineage: Bacteria; Bacillati; Cyanobacteriota
Description: bacterial SSU rRNA
Rfam family: Bacterial small subunit ribosomal RNA
Source: RNAcentral
GAGGAGGCAAGCGUUAUCCGGAAUUAUUGGGCGUAAAGCGUCCGCAGGGGCGCAUCAAGUCUGCUGUUAAAGGUCGGAGCUAAACUCCGGUAGAGCAGUGGAAACUGGUGCGCUAGAGGGCGACAGGGGUAGAGGGAAUUCCCAGUGUAGCGGUGAAAUGCGUAGAGAUUGGGAAGAACACCGGUGGCGAAAGCGCUCUACUGGGUCGCACCUGACCCUCAGGGACGAAAGCUAAGGUAGCGAAAGGGAUUAGAUACCCCUGUAGUCUUAGCCGUAAACGAUGGAUACUAGGCGUGGUUUGUAUCGACCCAAGCCGUGCCGARCUAACGCGUUAAGUAUCCCGCCUGGGGAGUACGCACGCAAGUGUGAAACUCAAAGGAAUUGACGGGGGCCCGCACAAGCGGUGGAGGAUGUGGUUUAAUUCGAUGCAACGCGAAGAACCUUACCAGGGCUUGACAUCCCGCGAAGUUUGGGGAAACUCAGACGUGCCUACGGGAACGCGGAGACAGGUGGUGCAUGGCUGUCGUCAGCUCGUGUCGUGAGAUGUUGGGUUAAGUCCCGCAACGAGCGCAACCCUCGUCCUUAGUUGCCAGCAUUAAGUUGGGCACUCUAGGGAGACUGCCGGUGACAAACCGGAGGAAGGUGAGGAUGACGUCAAGUCAGCAUGCCCCUUAUGCUCUGGGCAACACACGUCCUACAAUGGUCGGGACAAAGGGGAGCGAGCUCGCGAGAGUAAGCGAAUCCCAGCAAACUCGGCCUCAGUUCAGAUAGCAGGCUGCAACUCGCCUGCUUGAAGGAGGAAUCGCUAGUAAUCGCAGGUCAGCAUACUGCGGUGAAUUCGUCCCCGGCCU